AGUGAACGCUGGCGGUAGGCCUAACACAUGCAAGUCGAACGGCAGCACAGUAAGAGCUUGCUCUUACGGGUGGCGAGUGGCGGACGGGUGAGGAAUUCAUCGGAAUCUACUUUUUCGUGGGGGAUAACGUAGGGAAACUUACGCUAAUACCGCAUACGACCUACGGGUGAAAGCAGGGGAUCUUCGGACCUUGCGCGAUUGAAUGAGCCGAUGUCGGAUUAGCUAGUUGGCGGGGUAAAGGCCCACCAAGGCGACGAUCCGUAGCUGGUCUGAGAGGAUGAUCAGCCACACUGGAACUGAGAUACGGUCCAGACUCCUACGGGAGGCAGCAGUGGGGAAUAUUGGACAAUGGGCGCAAGCCUGAUCCAGCCAUACCGCGUGGGUGAAGAAGGCCUUCGGGUUGUAAAGCCCUUUUGUUGGGAAAGAAAAGCAGCAGGUUAAUACCCCGCUGUUCUGACGGUACCCAAAGAAUAAGCACCGGCUAACUUCG
This 490-nucleotide ribosomal RNA is filed under the name uncultured bacterium. Its description in RNAcentral is "partial 16S ribosomal RNA". It matches the Rfam family "Bacterial small subunit ribosomal RNA", at positions 29 to 505 of the family's 1533-position model. The record is from RNAcentral.